CGGCUACGAGCAUUAGAAACAAGGCUAACAGAGGCAGGGAGGGAAUACAUGCUCAGGGAAACCGAAACCACUUUCUUCACAAGACACUUGAGGCGUGGGAGAUCGCCCAUACACGAAAGAAGCCCAAGCCUGGCGAGGCCAAGUACUACGGCAAGACCGCGGAGUAUAAGAAGGCCUACUCUGAGGGGUAUCUGAGUUUACAUCCUGACACACCUGACCCCAUUGCGGCGGAUCUGGACGAGAGGGUGGUGGUGAGCAUGGGGAAGAAGCACGGUCGGUCGCCGUUUCUGGAUGCUGUGAUCACUCCUUCUAUCUCCUACACACAGCUCCGAGCUACCAACCCGAGCCUGUGCCAGCGCACGAGCACGUCCAUGACCAGUGCGCAGUCACAGUCCCUCAUUGCUGAGCGGAACUCUGCCUACUUGGAGUACACACGUCAGGAGACCAUGACGUGGCACGAGAGCCUUCAUGCAUACCAUCAGCAGAGGGAUCGCACGUUGCAACACUUCCUUGAGGAAAUGGCGGCCGGCAGGGUUCCUCAAUUGCAACCAGCACCAUCUCCUCCACCACAACCAGUGCUUCUUACUUUUGAGGAGUUUCUGACACAGAACCCUGGACCCUCGCCG
This 626-nucleotide ribosomal RNA is filed under the name Triticum aestivum (bread wheat). Its description in RNAcentral is "partial small subunit ribosomal RNA". Lineage: Eukaryota; Viridiplantae; Streptophyta; Magnoliopsida; Poales; Poaceae. The record is from RNAcentral.